CCGUAAUUUUCGCUUAAAUUCAACAAUUUAUAACUAUAAUAUGCCUAUGAAUCGAAUUUAAAAUUUUUUAUAUAAUAUGCCUAACAUAUACCUUUAAUAUGAUUGCGCGGCCAUUUCUUUUUCAUUUCUUUCUUUUUUCAUCAAAGGCUAGCUUCUUUUACUCCUGCCUUCCCGCUCCAUCAACUUAGACUUGGAAUUCUUAGUCGAUCCUAUGCCUACCAAAGCAAAAGACAGGCUUAGCCUGGAUCAUUUAACACAAACCGAAAGACUUGCGUAUCGAUCUGACUUCGACACUGGUGAAUCUCAAGAACAAAGCUUGGCUUGAAAGGGGCGAAGAGGAAAACGAGAUCACCCUAGAAAAGAAGGUUAGACUAGCGCUUGCUUAUAUUUUAGGUGGAAUGGCCAGUACUGGGGCUUGAUGACCCAAAGUACAC
RNAcentral lists this unclassified non-coding RNA (434 nucleotides) under Hevea brasiliensis (rubber tree). The record is from RNAcentral. Lineage: Eukaryota; Viridiplantae; Streptophyta; Magnoliopsida; Malpighiales; Euphorbiaceae.